This 395-nucleotide long non-coding RNA is filed under the name Setaria viridis. Its description in RNAcentral is "long non-coding RNA (SVIR_LNC010118)". Lineage: Eukaryota; Viridiplantae; Streptophyta; Magnoliopsida; Poales; Poaceae. The record is from RNAcentral.
GGGUGGGGAGGGGAACGUGAGCGCCAUGUUGGGUGUCUGGGUUUCUUUUUGUUGGCCUGCGCUUUUCGGCGAGAAAGCCAACGGUUAGUAGUGCAAUGCACAUCAGAAACAGACGUUAGGGGAGGUGUUUUUUUGUUGUGAUUUGUACUACAGCUUUGCAGAUCUCUAGGCUUCUCUUGAGCUUCUGUUCUCGUGCUGGAUGGAGAUUUCGAUUCCUAUGUAUUUUGAUAUUUGAACUUGGGAGCUGUACCGUUUGAGUUUGGCCUUUUUCUUUUUUCCUCUUUUCUUUUAUUCCUCUUGGACGAGGUUGUUGGAUGCUUCCAAUGCUUAUUAGAAAUUUUGGAAGUCCACAAGAUGAUUCUUUAGCUAUUAUUGGUUGUUAAUUAUAUCCGUAU